UUCCCUCCAUCUCUACGGGGUUACUCCCCUCCACCUCUACGGGGUUACUCCCCUCCACCUCUACGGGGUUACUCCCCUCCACCUCUACGGGGUUACUCCCCUCCACCUCUACGGGGUUACUCCCCUCCACCUCUACGGGGUUACUCCCCUCCACCUCUACGGGGUUACUCCCCUCCACCUCUACGGGGUUACUCCCCUCCACCUCUACGGGGUUACUCCCCUCCACCUCUACGGGGUUACUCCCCUCCACCUCUACGGGGUACUCCCAUCCACCUCUACGGGGUACUCCCCUCCACCUCUACGGGGUACUCCCCUCCACCUCUACGGGGUACUCCCCUCCACCUCUACGGGGUACUCCCCUCCACCUACUCCCCUCCACCUCUACGGGGUUACUCCCCUCCACCUCUACGGGGUUACUCCCCUCCACCUCUACGAGGUACUCCCCUCCACCUCUACGGGGUACUCCCCUCCACCUCUACGGGGUACUCCCCUCCACCUCUACGGGGUACUCCCCUCCACCUCUACGGGGUACUCCCCUCCACCUACUUCCCUCCACCUCUACGGGGUUUCUCCCCUCCACCUCUACGAGGUACUCCCCUCCACCUCUACGGGGUACUCCCCUCCACCUCUACGGGGUACUCCCCUCCACCGCUACGGGGUACUCCCCUCCACCGCUACGGGGUACUCCCCUCCACCGCUACGGGGUACUCCCCUCCACCGCUACGGGGUACUCCCCUCCACCGCUACGGGGUACUCCCCUCCACCUCUACGGGGUACUCCCCUCCACCUCUACGGGGUACUCCCCUCCACCUCUACGGGGUACUCCCCUCCACCUCUACGGGGGUACCCCCCUCCACCUCUACGGGGGUACUCCCAUCCACCUCUACGGGGUACUCCCCUCCACCUCUACGGGGUACUCCCCUCCACCUCUACGGGGUACUCCCCUCCACCUCUACGGGGUUACUCCCCUCCACCUCUACGGGGUUACUCCCCUCCACCUCUACGGGGUUACUCCCCUCCACCUCUACGUGGGUACUCCCCUCCACCUCUACGGGGUACUCCCCUCCACCUCUACGGGGUACUCCCCUCCACCUCUACGGGGUACUCCCCUCCACCUCUACGGGGUACUCCCCUCCACCUCUACGGGGUACUCCCCUCCACCUCUACGGGGUACUCCCCUCCACCUCUACGGGGUACUCCCCUCCACCUCUACGGGGUUACUCCCCUCCACCUCUACGGGGUUACUCCCCUCCACCUCUACGGGGUUACUCCUCUCCACCUCUACGGGGUACUCCCCUCCACCUCUACGGGGUACUCCCCUCCACCUCUACGGGGUACUCCCCUCCACCUCUACGAGGUACUCCCCUCCACCUCUACGAGGUACUCCCCUCCACCUCUACGGGGUACUCCCCUCCACCUCUACGGGGUACUCCCCUCCACCUCUACGGGGGUACUCCCCUCCACCUCUACAGGGUACUCCUCUCUGCUAUGACUUUAGCUGGAGUGUCUCACAAACAACCAGGUGAAAACAGAGAGGAAGAGUGUGUGAUAGGUGGAGGAUACUACUGA
Long non-coding RNA from Oncorhynchus kisutch (coho salmon), 1569 nucleotides. NCBI's taxonomy places the organism in Eukaryota, Metazoa, Chordata, Actinopteri, Salmoniformes, Salmonidae. The record is from Ensembl.